RNAcentral lists this ribosomal RNA (615 nucleotides) under Triticum aestivum (bread wheat). RNAcentral describes it as "partial small subunit ribosomal RNA". The record is from RNAcentral. Lineage: Eukaryota; Viridiplantae; Streptophyta; Magnoliopsida; Poales; Poaceae.
AUGUCUAGCCUAAUGCAGACCAUGGUCGUCUCCGGAGUAGCGACGGCCGUGUGCUGCGCGGCGUGGAGCUUCUACAACUACUGGACCUCCCUGUCCCUGGACACCUACGGCAAGGACAUGACGGCCGCCGCCAGCAGGGCCGACCCCGUGGUGGGCCGCGACGACGAGAUCGACCGCCUCGUCCGCAUCCUCUGCCGCCGGACCAAGAACUGCGCCGCGGGGGUGGGCAAGACGGCCAUCGCGGAGGGCCUCGCACAGCGCAUCGCCGCCGGGAAGGUGCCCAGGCAGCUCGCCGGCGCGCGCCUCGUGGAAGUUGACCUCGCGGCCAUGGUGGCCGGCCGGGACGCAGUGGCGCGGCAUGUUCGAGGAGCGCAUGAAGGCCGUCAUCAGGCGGGCCGAGGCCUCCGGCGGCAAGAUCAUCCUCUUCAUCGACGAGAUGCACACGCUCAUCGGCGCCGGCGACUACCAGCGCCGGAACGACGCCGCCAACAUGCUCAAGCCAGCGUUGGCCCGUGGCCGCAUCCGCUGCAUCGGCGCCACCACGUUCGACGAGUACCGGAAGCACAUAGAGAAGGACACCGCGCUCGAGCGGCGGUUCCAGAAGGUGCACGUUGA